RNAcentral lists this long non-coding RNA (5151 nucleotides) under Marmota monax (woodchuck). Lineage: Eukaryota; Metazoa; Chordata; Mammalia; Rodentia; Sciuridae. The record is from RNAcentral.
AGGUUCAGGCCCCACAGCCCCCAUCAGGGCAGCCCACGCCUGCCAGCACCUGAGCCGAGCAAGCCCAAAAUAGAAAGAACCAAAUAAGGUAAAGCCGCGCCUCACCUUAGAACUGCCUGCAGAUCAGCCGCUCAUGCAGCCUGCGCUGCUGUCAAGUGACAGCGGGCAGACGUCUACUGAGGAGCCCCGAGCAGGUGGUCCACUCAGCCCAGCCCACCCCAGGGCCAGCUGGGGCAUCUGUACAGGCGAAGGGAUCCAGCAUGGCCAAGCAGUGGACUGGGCCCAGUGAUGAGCACUUGGGACUGCAGAGUGCUGGGUGGAAUUGUAGGGUCCCCAGCUCGACCAGGGACUGGGGGGGUCAGCUCUGCAGACCCAGGGGGCAGAGCAUGCAGGCCAGCAUUGAGGGCCCACAUGAGAUGGAUCUGGAAGGCAGAGAUUUGAGGACCCUCAGGAUGAAUUCCACAGCACGGUCUGUGACUGUGAUGGACACCUGGCCCCAAGAGAGGCCAUGUCUGACAGGGCCUCGGGCACUGCAGGGCUGCGUCCCCACGGCCUGUCUGACAAGAGCUUGGUCCCCACACCCUCCCCAGACCACAUCCCAAGUCAGUUCUGCUGAGACCAGAGGCUUCACUUUCCCCCUGUGGGAGAUGAAGGAGCUGCGUCUCCUCCUGACCCAGCUGUGGAAAGUCACAGGGAAACAGGGAAGGGUGGGGUCAAACCCAUGCGUCCCUCCGAACGUACCUCAGGCCACAUCGGGAGGCCGUCAGACUCAGAUUGUGCUCAAGCCAAACAGGUAAGCCCUGGUACAGGUAAGCCCUGACACAAGUAAGCCAUGGCACAGGUAAGCCAUGGCACAGGUAAGCUCUGGCAGAGGUAAGCCAUGGCACAGGUAAACCCUGAUACAGGUAAGCUGUGGUACAGGUAAGCUGUGGCAAAGGUUAAGCCAGGGCACAGGUAAGCCCUGGCAGAGGUAAGCCCUGGCACAGGUAAGCUUCGGCACAGGUAAGCCCCAGCACAGGUAAGCCCUGGUACAGGUAAGCCCCACUGUUGUCCGCAGAGGAAGGGAGGGAGUUGGACCAAAUGCUCAGCCCUGAUGUCAGACCUAGGGUGGGAGGAGUUGGGAAGCCACAUGGCUGGGUGUCAGCUGGGGCUGAAUGUGGCCUGGAGGGGGCCCCUCCUCUCUGAGGAAAGCCCACCACCCUGCAGACCCCAGGGCCAGGUGGGGUAGUUGCUGUUUGGGGUGGGGGUGCCUGAAGGAGGCACCCCCACAGAGCUUCAGCCUUCCUGAUGGCCGACCACGGGGCUGCAGCACCUGGUCUAUGUGCCAAGCUCUGAGCAGGCCUGUCCCUCUCAAUGGUGUCCACAGCCUCUUCAUUACCCAUGGGGGCCUGUGACGCUAGCAAGCAGAGAGGCCGUGUGUGGCUCCCGGGCCUGCGGUUCCUCCCCACCAGGCCACUCUUCCCCCCCUUUUCCUCUCCCCUGCCUUCUCCCCCACUGACCCAGCUCCUGGUCCAGCCUCCUCCUGUCCCAUCUCCUCCCCCGCCCUUACCUCACUGUCCCUCCCCUGCCCCUCACCCAGCCCCCAGCCCCUGUCUCCUCCAUCCCUGGCCCUCCCUCACCUUCUCUCCUGUCCACUUGAGCUGUGACCACUGCAGGGGGCCUGGAGCCCUGGGCCCAGUGUCAGCUGCACCCCCUUUUUGUCUCUGUUGGAAACAGGACCAUCACUCCCUUCCAUACCCAGAGCUGGCCAGUGAGCACGGGUGUCACCUGUGGAACUCACGGCAAGGCCACAGGAUGGUCACAGAGCAGGGACCAAGCCAUCAUCCUCAUCCUGCCUUGGCCACCAACCCAUCCAUCUGCCACACACCAGGACCUCUGAAGCAGCGGAGCAGUGGGCCAGGCGCCUGGCACCACAUGCAAGCAGAACUAUCCCAUUCUCAUCCUCUGGUCAGGGACGGGGCACUCCCAGAAGCCAUGUCCACCAGCCCUGGCAGAGGCGGCGCAGCUGAGCAGAUGCAGAGUGUCAAGUCACAGCAGGUCACUCAGAGCCCUGGGGGCCAGGACCCUCGCUACACCGCCCCCGACAGGCCUGGGCUCUUCCUCCUCUGCCAUGGCUGCUCCCCCAGCCAGCUGCCCUGCCCUGCCCUGCACAUCAGUGUCCGCUUCCUCCAGACAGUGCCAGGCCACAAGAGCACCUGUCAGAGCGGCUUCCCAGGGAAUCAGGAUGGUGUCCUUAGCAGCCAUGGGGCUCCCUCCCGACUUCAGAAUGGACAGUGCCCGCCACCAGCCAGCCAAACACAGGCCAGAACAAGCAGAGCUCUGGGCAGCUUGUUUUCCACCUAUUAACACUAAUCUGUUUUUCUUCUGCAUUUCCAAAUUCCUCCCUUCAGGUCUCAGACACAGUAUGCACAGCCAGAUGAGACCGGCUUAGUCCCGGCUUUGCCGCUUAUGAACAGUGUGACCCUGGGAAGCGCUGACAACCCUCCUGACCAUGACUGCUUNUGGGUAUUGAUCGGGAUUCUAAAGAGCCUGAGGUUGGGACUGGUCAGGGCCUCCUGGCCCACAAUGGGGUGAUCACAGUAAUGGGCAGGAACCCCUACUGGCACAGGGUGUUAGGCUGACGUGGUCACCACAGACACGUCCAAGGGAGACUUUCUGAACAGGUGCCAGUCUGUCUUUGGGCACUUUAAUUACAGCUCCAAGUUUGGCAGGGGAGUUGUUACUACUGACUUAGUCCCGCUCUGGUAGCUCUGGAUGGGCUGAGGCUGCCCUGGACAGGAGGUGGAUUUUGUGGGGUCAUUUGAGCUGGGUCCUGGGUCUGUGACUGGGUGACACCAUCUCAUUCUGCUGCCUGGCUGGGACCCAGUUUUCUAAUGACAAAGAGGGAGACCUCAUCUUGUUUAUCCACUUAGUGAUUCCAAAACCUCUGGGGACUUGUAUGUGUCUAAAAGUGGGGACCCCGGGCCUCCAGGGCUUCAGGAUUCCAGGGGAACUCGGGGCAAGAAGGAGGCUGCGGAUGGAGGGCACCCAGGCUGACUGGGGGCGUGGGAGGGGCGGGGCGGGGGGCGAGGCAGGUUCUAUGAGGUUCAGGCCCCACAGCCCCCAUCAGGGCAGCCCACGCCUGCCAGCACCUGAGCCGAGCAAGCCCAAAAUAGAAAGAACCAAAUAAGGUAAAGCCGCGCCUCACCUUAGAACUGCCUGCAGAUCAGCCGCUCAUGCAGCCUGCGCUGCUGUCAAGUGACAGCGGGCAGACGUCUACUGAGGAGCCCCGAGCAGGUGGUCCACUCAGCCCAGCCCACCCCAGGGCCAGCUGGGGCAUCUGUACAGGCGAAGGGAUCCAGCAUGGCCAAGCAGUGGACUGGGCCCAGUGAUGAGCACUUGGGACUGCAGAGUGCUGGGUGGAAUUGUAGGGUCCCCAGCUCGACCAGGGACUGGGGGGGUCAGCUCUGCAGACCCAGGGGGCAGAGCAUGCAGGCCAGCAUUGAGGGCCCACAUGAGAUGGAUCUGGAAGGCAGAGAUUUGAGGACCCUCAGGAUGAAUUCCACAGCACGGUCUGUGACUGUGAUGGACACCUGGCCCCAAGAGAGGCCAUGUCUGACAGGGCCUCGGGCACUGCAGGGCUGCGUCCCCACGGCCUGUCUGACAAGAGCUUGGUCCCCACACCCUCCCCAGACCACAUCCCAAGUCAGUUCUGCUGAGACCAGAGGCUUCACUUUCCCCCUGUGGGAGAUGGAGGAGCUGCGUCUCCUCCUGACCCAGCUGUGGAAAGUCACAGGGAAACAGGGAAGGGUGGGGUCAAACCCAUGCGUCCCUCGGAACGUACCUCAGGCCACAUCGGGAGGCCAUCAGACUCAGAUUGUGCUCAAGCCAAACAGGUAAGCCCUGGCACAGGUAAGCCAUGGCACAGGUAAGCCCUGGCAGAGGUUAGCCAUGGCACAGGUAAGCCAUGGCACAGGUAAGUCCUGGUACAGGUAAGCUGCGGCAAAGGUAAGCCAUGGCACAGGUAAGCCGUGGCACAGGUAAGCCCCAACAGAGGUAAGCCCAGGUAAGCCCCGGCACAGGUAAGCCCUGGCACAGGUAAGCCCCACUGUUGUCUGCAGAGGAAGGGAGGAAGUUGGACCAAGUGCUCAGCCCUGAUGUCAGACCUGGGUGGGAGGAGUUGGAAAGCCACAUGGCUGGGUGUCAGCUGGGGCUGAAUGUGGCCUGGAGGAAGCCCCUCCUCCCUGAGGAAAGCCCACCACCUGCAGACCCCAGGGCCAGGUGGGGCAGUUGCUGUUUGGGGUGGGGGUGCCUGAAGGAGGCACCCCCACAGAGCUGAGCCUUCCAGAUGGCCGACCACGGCCCUGGUGCCCGGGGCUGCAGCACGUGGUCUGUGUGCCAAGCUCUGAGCAGGCCUGUCCCUCUCAGUGGUGUCCACAGCCUCCUCAUCACCCAUGGGGCCUGUGACGUCAGCAAGCAGAGAGGCCGUGUGUGGCUCCUGGGCCUGCGGUUCCUCCACACUGGGCCACUCUUGCCCCCUUCUCCUCUCCCCUCCCUUCUCCCCCACUGACCCAGCUCCUGGUCCAGCCUCCUCCUGUCCCAUCUCCUCCCCUGCCUUCACCUCACUGUCCCUCCCCUGCCCCUCACCCAGCCCCCAGCCCCUGUCUCCUCCCUCCCUGGCCCUCACUCACCGUCUCUCCUGUCCACCUGGGCUGUGACCACUGCAGGGGGCCUGGAGCCCUGGGCCCAGCGUCAGCUGCACCCCCCUUUUGUCUCUGUUGGAAGCAGGACCAUCACUCCCUUCCACACCCAGAGCUGGCCAGUGAGCACGGGCGUCACCUCUGAAACUCGCGGCAAGGCCACAGGAUGGUCACAGAGCAGGGACCAAGCCAUCAUCCUCAUCCUGCCUUGGCCACCAACCCAUCCAUCUGCCACACACCAGGACCCCAGAAGCAGUGGGGCAGAGGGCCAGGCGCCUGGCACCAUGUGCAGGCAGAACCACCCCAUUCUCAUCCUCUGGUCAGGGACGGGCACUCCCAGAGGCCGUGUCCACCAGCCCUGGCAGAGACGGGGCAGCUGAGCGGAUGCAGAGUGUCAAGUCACAGCAGGUCCCUCAGAGCCCUGGGGGGCCAGGACCCUUGCUGCACCGCCCCUGACAGGCCUGGGCUCUUC